GACGUAGGGCGCAAGCGUUGUCCGGAAUUAUUGGGCGUAAAGAGCUCGUAGGCGGCUUGUCACGUCGGGUGUGAAAGCCCGGGGCUUAACCCCGGGUCUGCAUUCGAUACGGGCUAGCUAGAGUGUGGUAGGGGAGAUCGGAAUUCCUGGUGUAGCGGUGAAAUGCGCAGAUAUCAGGAGGAACACCGGUGGCGAAGGCGGAUCUCUGGGCCUUACCUGACGCUGAGGAGCGAAAGCAUGGGGAGCAAACAGG
RNAcentral lists this ribosomal RNA (253 nucleotides) under uncultured bacterium. RNAcentral describes it as "partial 16S ribosomal RNA". It matches the Rfam family "Bacterial small subunit ribosomal RNA", at positions 524 to 776 of the family's 1533-position model. The record is from RNAcentral.